AAAUUGAAGAGUUUGAUCAUGGCUCAGAUUGAACGCUGGCGGCAGGCCUAACACAUGCAAGUCGAACGGUAACAGGAAACAGCUUGCUGUUUCGCUGACGAGUGGCGGACGGGUGAGUAAUGUCUGGGAAACUGCCUGAUGGAGGGGGAUAACUACUGGAAACGGUAGCUAAUACCGCAUAACGUCGCAAGACCAAAGAGGGGGACCUUCGGGCCUCUUGCCAUCGGAUGUGCCCAGAUGGGAUUAGCUUGUUGGUGGGGUAACGGCUCACCAA
RNAcentral lists this ribosomal RNA (274 nucleotides) under Escherichia coli. RNAcentral's name for it is "partial 16S ribosomal RNA". It matches the Rfam family "Bacterial small subunit ribosomal RNA", at positions 1 to 271 of the family's 1533-position model. Lineage: Bacteria; Pseudomonadati; Pseudomonadota; Gammaproteobacteria; Enterobacterales; Enterobacteriaceae. The record is from RNAcentral.